Molecule: non-coding RNA, 46 nt
Organism: Rhodnius prolixus
Lineage: Eukaryota; Metazoa; Arthropoda; Insecta; Hemiptera; Reduviidae
Source: Rfam
UUAACGGUUUUCUUGAAAACCACUCAACAGAUAAAAGAAAAUAACU